UAUGUGAUCGUCUCUCGCAUAUCAAUAAGCGGAGGAAAAGAAACUAACAAGGAUUCCCCUAGUAACGGCGAGUGAAGCGGGAAGAGCUCAAAUUUGAAAUCUUAAAGGGUUUCCCUUUACGAAUUGUAGUUUAAAGAAGUGUUUUCUGUUGAGGUUUUGGUAAAAGUUCUUUGGAAUAGGACAUCAUAGAGGGUGAGAAUCCCGUAUUUGACCUUUACUUUCAACUUUGUGAUACACUUUCAAAGAGUCGGAUUGUUUGGGAAUGCAGUCCAAAAUGGGUGGUAAAUUUCAUCUAAAGCUAAAUAUUGGCGAGAGACCGAUAGCGAACAAGUACCGUGAGGGAAAGAUGAAAAGAACUUUGAAAAGAGAGUUAAACAGUACGUGAAAUUGUCAAAAGGGAAGCGUUUGACACCAGUGUUGUUUUUCUGAAAAUCAAUUAAAGAACUGUUUAUGCUAAGUUGUUUAGACUUUAUCAGCUAACUGUUUAGUUUUAGGCUUUUCUUUAAUGCACUUUUCAGUUAACGAGUCAACAUCAAUUUCUUUUGCUGUAAAAAAGCUUGAGGAAGGUGGCUUGAGAUUCGUCUUAAGUGUUUAUAGCCUCUUGCCUAUGCAGUCGGAGAGAUUGAGGUCUGCAGCGUAGAUCCUUCGGGGCUAAAUGCAUUUGUGCUAAGUUAUAGCAUUUUAUAGACAACUUGUUGACUAUGAUUUGUCUUGUAGCUUACUCGCUUAUGUUAUUUUACCUACGCUUAGGAUGUUGAUCUACAGAGCGAGAGU
RNAcentral lists this ribosomal RNA (774 nucleotides) under uncultured Neocallimastigales. RNAcentral describes it as "partial large subunit ribosomal RNA". It matches the Rfam family "Eukaryotic large subunit ribosomal RNA", at positions 24 to 634 of the family's 3401-position model. The record is from RNAcentral. Lineage: Eukaryota; Fungi; Neocallimastigomycota; Neocallimastigomycetes; Neocallimastigales.